Molecule: long non-coding RNA, 6029 nt
Organism: Acinonyx jubatus (cheetah)
Lineage: Eukaryota; Metazoa; Chordata; Mammalia; Carnivora; Felidae
Exons: 3
Source: RefSeq, a predicted model, not a curated record
AAAACAUUGGGAUGCAUGUGCCCCUCUGAAACAGCAUACCUGUAUUCCUUGGAUGAAUACCUAGUAGUGCAAUUGCUGAAUUGUAGGGUAGUUCUAUUUUUAAUUUUUUGAGGAACCUCCAGUUUGCAUUCCCACCAGCAAGCAAAAGAGAUCCUCUUUCUCUGCAUCCACACCAACAUCUGUUGUUGCCCGAGUUGUUAAUGUUAGCUAUUCUGACAAGUGUGAGGUGAUAUCUCACUGUGGUUUUGAUUUGUGUUUCCCUGAUGACGAGUGAUAUUGAGCAUUUUUUCAUGUGUCGGUUGCCUAUCUGGAAAUCUUCUUUGGAGAAGUGUCUAUUCAUGUCUUUUGUCCAUUUCUUCAGUGGAUUGUUUGUUGGUUGGGUAUUGAGUUUUAUAAGUUCUUUAUAAAUUUUGGAUACGAACCCUUUAUCUGAUAUGUCAUUUUCUAAUAUCUUUUCCCAUUCCAUCAGUUGCCUUUUAGUUUUGCUGAUUGUUUCCUUCCCUGUGCAGAAGAUUUUCAUUUUGAUGAAGUCUCAAUAGAUGAAAAUUUUUGCUCUUGUUUCCCUUGCCUCUAGAGACAUGUUGAGUAAGAAGUUACUGUGGCUGAGAUCAAAACGUUUUUGCCUGCUUUCUCCUCUAGGAUUUUGAUGGCUUCCAAUAUGAUGUUUAGGUCUUUCAUCCAUUUUGAGUCUCUUUUUGUGUAUGGUGUAAGAAAGUGGUCCAGCUUCACUUUCUGCAUGUCGCUGUCCAGUUUUCCCAGCACCACUUGCUGAAGAGACUGUCUUUAUUCCAUUGGAUAUUCUUUCCUGCUUUGUCAAAGAUUAGUUGGCCAUACAUUUAUGGGUCCAUAUCUGGGUUCUCUAUUCUGUUCCAUUGAUCUGAGUGUCUGUUUUUGUGACAUAGUGUCUUGAUGAGUACAGCUUUGUAAUACAUCUUCAAGUCUGGGAUUUUGAUGCCUCCAGCUUUUGUUUUCUUUUUCAAGAUUUCUUUGGCUGUUGGGGUCUUUUCUGGUUCCAUACAGAUUUUAGGUUUGUUUGUUCUAGCUCUGUGAAGAAUGCUGGUGUUAUUUUGAUAGGGAUUGCAUUGAAUAUGUAGAUUGCUUUGGGUAGUAUCGACAUUUUAACAAUAUUUGUUCUUCCUAUCCAGGAGCAUGGAAUAUUUUUCCAUAUGUUUGUGUCUUCUUCCAUUUCUUUUAUAAGCUUUCUAUAGUUUUCAGUGUAUAGAUUUUUCACCUCUUUGGUUACAUUUAUUCCUAUGUCUUUUAUGGGAUUUGGUGCGAUUAUAACUAGGAUUGAUUCCUUGAUUUCCCUUUCUGUUGCUUCAUUAUUGGUGUAUAGGAAUGCGACUGAUUUCUGUGCAUUGAUUUUAUAUCCUGAGACUUUGCUGAAUUCAUGGAUCAGGUCUAGCAGGUUUUUUUGGUGCAAUCUUUUGGGUUUUCCAAAAAGAGUAUCAUGUCAUCUGUUAAAAAGAAAGUUUGACUUCCUCCUUGCCAAUAUGGAUGCCUUUUAUUCCUUUGUGUUGUCUGAUUGCUGAGGCUAAGACUUCCAAUACUAUGUUGAAUAACAGUGGUGAGAGUGGACAUCCCUGUCUUAUUCCUGACCUUAGGGGGAAAGGUGUCAGUUUUGCCCCAUUAAGGAUGAUAUUAGCGUUGGGUCUUUCAUGUAUGGCUUUUAUGAUCUUGAAGUAUGAUCCUUCUAUCCCUACUUUCUUGAGGUUUUCGUCGAAAGAGGAUGUUGUAUUUUGUCAAAUGCUUUCUCUGUAUCUAUUGAGAGGAUCAUAUGGUUCUUGUCCUUUCUUCCAUUGAUGUGAUGAAUCAUAUUGAUUGUUUUGCAGAUAUUGAACCAGCCCUGCAUCCCAGGUAUAAAUCCCACUUGGUCAUGGUGAAUAAUUCUUUUAGUGUAUUGUUGGAUCCAGUUGGCUAAUAUCUUGUUGAGGAUUUUUGCAUACAUAUUCAUCAGGGAAAUUGAUCUGUAGUUCUCCUUUUUAGUGGGUCUUUGUCUGAUUUUGGAAUCAAAGUGAUGCUGGCUUCAUAGAAAGAGUUUGGAAGUUUUCCUUCCAUUUCUAUUUUUUGGAAUACCUUCAAGAGAAUAGGUAUUAACUCUUCUUUAAAUGUUUGGUAGAAUCCUUUGGAAAUCUAUCUGACCCAGGUCUCUUGUUUUUUUGGGAGAUUUUUGAUAACUAAUUCGAUUUCUUUACUGGUUAUGGGUGUGUUCAAAUUUUCUAUUUCUUCCUGUUUCAGUUUUGGUAGUUUAUAUGUUUCCAGGAAUUUGUCCAUUUUUUUCCAGAUUGUCAAUUUUUUUGGCAUAUAAUUGCUGGUAAUAUUCUCUUAUUCUUGUUUGUAUUUCUGCUGUGUUGGUUGUGAUCUCUCCUCUUUCAUUCUUGACUUUAUUUAUUUGUAUCCUUUCCUUUUUCUUUUUGAUCAAACUGGCUAGGGGUUUAUCAAUUUUGUUCAUUCUUUCAAAGAACCAGCUCCUGAUUUCAUUGAUCUGUCCUACUGGGUUUUUUGGUUUUGAUAGCAUUGAUUUCUGCUCUAAUCUUUACUACUUCCUGUCUUCUCUGGUUUGGGGUUUUAUUUGCUGUUCUUUUUCAAGAUCUUUAAGGUGUAAGGUUAGGUUGUGUAUCUCAGAUGUUUCUUCCUUCUUAGAAAGGCCUGGAUUGCAAUAUGCUUCCCUCUUGUCUGCCUUUGCUGCAUCCCAGAGGUUUUGUGCUGGGGUAUUAUCAUUUUCAUUGGCUUCCAUGUACUUUUUAGUUUCUUCUUUAACUUCUUGGUUAGCCCAUUCAUUCUUUAGUAGGAUGUUCUUUAGUCUCCAAGUAUUUGUUAUCUUUCCAAAUUUUUUCUCGUGGUUGAUUUCGAGUUUCAUAGUGCUGUGGUCUGAAAAUAUGCCCAGUAUGAUCUCAGUCUUUUCAUAUUUGUUGAGGACUGAUUUGUGUCCUAGUAUGUGAUCUAUUCUGGAGAAUGUUGCAGGUGCAGUGGAGAAGAGUGUGUAUUCUGCUGCUUUAGGAUGAAUUGUUCUGUAUAUAUCUGUUAAGUCCAUCCAGUCCAGUGUGUCAUUCAAAGCUAUUGUUUCAGUGUUGGUUUUCUGUUUAUAUGAUCUGUCCAUUGUUGUAGGUGGGGUGUUGAAGUCCCCUACUAUUAUGGUAUUAUUAUGUUUGUGAUUAAUUGAUUUAUUUGUCUGGGUGCUUUCACGUUUGGAGCAUAAAUGUUUAUAAUUGUUAGAUCUUCUUGGUGGAUAGACCCCUUAAUUAUGAUAUAAUGCCCUUCUUCAUCUCUUAUUACAGUCUUUAUUUUAAAAUCUAGAUUUUCUGUUAUAAGUAUCACUACUCAGGCUUUCUUGUCAUGACCAUUAGCAUGAUAGAUGGAUCUCCAGCCCCUUAUUUUCUAUCUGAAAGUGCCUUUAGGUCUAAAAUUGGUCUCUUAUAAACAGCAUAUAGAUCUAUUGUGUUUUCUUAUCCAUUCUGUUACCCUAUGUCUUUUUAUUGGAGCUUUAGUCCAUUGAUGUUUACAGUGAGCACUGGAAGAUAUGAAUUUAUUGUCAUUACAUUGCCUGUAGAGUUGGAGUUUCUGGUGGUGUUCUCUGGUGCUUUCUAGUCUUUGUUGCUUUUGAGCCUUUUUGUUUUGUUUUUUUGUUUUUGUUUUUGUCUUUUCUCCCCUCAGAGUCCCCCUUAAAAUUUCUUGCAGUACCAGUUUAGUUGCCACAAACUCCUUUAAUUUUUGUUUGUAGGGAAACUUUUAAUCUCUCUUUCUAUUUUGAAUGACAGCCUUGCUGGAUAAAGAAUUCUUGGUUGCAUAUUUUUCCAAUUCAGCACAUUAAAUAUAUCCUGCCACUCCUUUCUUCCCUGCCAAGAUUCUAUGGAUAGGUAUGCUGCAAACUUGAUGUCUUCCCUUGUAGGUUAAGGACUUUUUUUCCCUUGCUGCUUUCAUGAUUCUUUCCUUGUCUGAAUAUUUUGCAAAUUUGACUAUGAUAUGCCUUGUUAAUGGUCGGUUUGUGUUGAAUCUAAUGGGAGUCCUCUGUGCUUCCUGGAUUUUGAUGUCUGUGUCUUCUCCCAGCUUAGGAAAGUUUCUGCUAUGAUUUGCUCACAUAACUCUUCUACCCCUUUUUCUCUCUGUUCAUCUUCUGGGACCCCUAUGAUUCAGAUAUUAUUUCUUUUUAAUGAGUCACUGAUUUCUUUAAUUCUUAAAUCAUGCUCUUUUGUCUUAGUUCUCUUUUUUCUGCUUCAUUAUUCUCUGUAAGUUUGUCCUCUAUAUCACUGAUUUGCAGCUCGGCUUCCUCCAUCCUUGCCACCGUGGCAUCCAUUUGAGAUUGCAGCUCAGUUAUAUCAUUUUUUAUUUCAUCUUGACUAGCUUUUACUUCUUUUAUCUCUGCAAAAAUGGAUUCUAAUCUAUUUUCGACCCCAGCUCAUAUUCUUAUUAUCAUGAUUCUAGUUUCUGGUUCAGAUACCUUGCUUGCAUCUGUGUUGAUUAAGUCCCUGGCUGUCAUUUCUUCCUCUUCUUUCUUUUGGGGUGAAUUCCUUCAUUUUGUUAUUUUGAAGGAAGAAAUGAAAUUAAUAAAGUAAAAAAAAUUAAAAUUAAAAAAUUAAAAACAACACAAAAAAUCAAAUAAUGGAUGCUAGAUCCUAGGUGUGGUUUUCUUCUUAGGUUGUUGAAAAAAAACUUGAUUAGAUUAGAGAAAAAAGAGAAAGAUAAGAAAAAAAAGGAAAAUAAAAUAAGAGGAAAAUAGUUUGAAAAUUUGAAAAACUGGAUAUCAUAAAAUGCAAUAAAAUGAAUGGUAGGAGUAAAAUAUAAUUUAAAAAGUUUACAAAAAUAAAAAAUAUGGUAGAAAAAAAUUAAAGAAAAAUAUUUUUAUUUAAAAUUGAAAAUAAAAAUAAUUUUUUUCUCUUUCUGUAUUCAAGAAUAAGAAAGGAAAAGAAAAAAAUUGACUAGAUGUAUCAGUGAAUAGAAUCAAGUACGAUUAAAAUUAUAUUUUUUCCCCCUAGAAGUCAAACUAUGAAGCACUUUAUAGUCCAUAAACUAAGCAGGCAGAAAGACUUACAGUGUUCCUCAAGAGUGCAGUUGGCCCAGUUGGGUGAGGUUUAGUGUAACGGCUCCAUCUUCCACUAGAUGGUGCUGCUUAGGUUACUGGGGUGGAUUGCUGUGAAGCUUGUAGGUGUGUAUGCGCUGCGAGUGAGGGGUGUCACCCAACUACUAAGUCUCUAUUAUCAGAACUCUGCACUCUCCCCUACCAGUGAUCAAGCACCCCUCCUUCGUCUCUAGCUUCCAUCCACUCUCCACUCCUACACUCUCUGUGACUAAGCAGGCUGCCAGGCAGCACCUCAUUCCUGAGUUUUAUCUCACAUAGAGCUGUGUUUCCCAACUCCUCCCUUCUGAGUGACUGUGGCUUUGACCCAUUCCUACCCUUUGGGGGAGGGUCUCACUGAGAAAUGGCUGGGUACUGGCCACACGCAGGAAUGUUCGCACAACCGUGCUGCUGCAGAAGCUUAGAGACUGUGCCUGGGUGCCAGCCUGCCCCAGAAAAAGUUUGUGAGAUCAUGCAGCAGCAUUUCAGAGAUUAUGGCAAGUCACAACACACAUCUGUCACCAGGUCACCCCUAACAUCCUCUCCAACAGCAGUGAAUGCAGCCAUUCUCCAUGGUCCACUGGGACCUUUGACUGUGGGGAGGCCACACCGCCUCUAUCAAAUGACCUCCCAGCAGGGGAACAACCACUUCCUGUGUGGCCCAGGACCCCAAGGACCUUACUUUCUGCUCCCAUGGAUAUACCCUCCCACCAGAGCACCACCAGGCUCCAUCAUAACAUGGAUUUCCAAGAACACAUCAGCAUAGGUGCCUGUUUACAAAGCAAAUUCAUAAAGUCAGACUUUCCAGUAUUGGGACCCCAGAAUCUACAUAUUUUUAACCUUUGGAUUAACAAUCAUGUUUGGGAUUCACCGAGAAGAUUCUCUUUCAUCCAAAGCAUUCUUAAAGUGUGUAAACCUGGCUCAGGUUAUCGCUAAUCGGAAUCUUUCACAUGGCUCGAUUUUGAUCCACAGUAGA